UAAAUAUAAUAUAAAAUAUCAUGUCCUAGUAUUUUAGGACAUACUUUGCCAACUUGAACUCCAACAAUGUGCCUUAUUCUUAUAAGAUGUUUAAUAUUUUAUUAUUAAAGACUCUCUUCCAUCAUUAAAGCAUAAUAUAAAAAUAGAGAGAGAAAGUGAGUGUUGAUGUGAUUUUAUAAUAAAAUAUGUUAUAGGGCAAGGAGAGAGGUGCCUCAAAAAUAGGGCUUGAGAAUGUUGUCCUAGUGAUAUAAGGCAUCAGUAGGACAUUGUUGGAGCAACUUUUUCCAUCAAAUGC
Molecule: long non-coding RNA, 295 nt
Filed under: Daucus carota (carrot)
Lineage: Eukaryota; Viridiplantae; Streptophyta; Magnoliopsida; Apiales; Apiaceae
Description: long non-coding RNA (DCAR_LNC001580)
Source: RNAcentral